Molecule: ribosomal RNA, 482 nt
Filed under: uncultured Bradyrhizobium sp.
Lineage: Bacteria; Pseudomonadati; Pseudomonadota; Alphaproteobacteria; Hyphomicrobiales; Nitrobacteraceae
Description: bacterial SSU rRNA
Rfam family: Bacterial small subunit ribosomal RNA
Source: RNAcentral
UCUACGUAGCAGAGUUUGAUCCUGGCUCAGAGCGAACGCUGGCGGCAGGCUUAACACAUGCAAGUCGAGCGGGCGUAGCAAUACGUCAGCGGCAGACGGGUGAGUAACGCGUGGGAACAUACCUCUUGGUUCGGAACAACACAGGGAAACUUGUGCUAAUACCGGAUAAGCCCUUACGGGGAAAGAUUUAUCGCCGAGAGAUUGGCCCGCGUCUGACUAGCUAGUUGGUAGGGUAAUGGCCUACCAAGGCGACGAUCAGUAGCUGGUCUGAGAGGAUGAUCAGCCACAUUGGGACUGAGACACGGCCCAAACUCCUACGGGAGGCAGCAGUGGGGAAUAUUGGACAAUGGGGGCAACCCUGAUCCAGCCAUGCCGCGUGAGUGAUGAAGGCCCUAGGGUUGUAAAGCUCUUUUGUGCGGGAAGAUAAUGACGGUACCGCAAGAAUAAGCCCCGGCUAACUUCGUGCCAGCCGCCGCGGUAAU